GCAGCAGUGGGGAAUUUUGCGCAAUGGGGGCAACCCUGACGCAGCGACGCCGCGUGAGUGACGAAGGCCUUCGGGUUGUAAAACUCUGUCUAGGGGGAAGAUAGUGACGGUACCCCUGGAGGAAGCCCCGGCUAACUACGUGCCAGCAGCCGCGGUAAGACGUAGGGGGCGAGCGUUGUCNGGAAUUACUGGGCGUAAAGGGCGUGUAGGCGGCCUGUAAAGUCAGCUGUGAAAUCCCUCGGCUCAACUGAGGGCUUGCAGUUGAAACUANCAGGCUUGAGUGCAGGAGAGGAAGGUGGAAUUCCCAGUGUAGCGGUGAAAUGCGUAGAUNUUGGGAGGAACACCGGUGGCGAAGGCGGCNUCUGGCCUGUAACUGACGCUGAGGCGCGAAAGCUAGGGGAGCAAACAGGAUUAGAUACCCUGGUAGUCCUAGCNGUAAACGNUGGGUACUAGGUGUAGGGGGUUUNGACGCCCUCUGUGCCGUAGUUAA
This 490-nucleotide ribosomal RNA is filed under the name uncultured bacterium. RNAcentral describes it as "bacterial SSU rRNA". It matches the Rfam family "Bacterial small subunit ribosomal RNA", at positions 348 to 855 of the family's 1533-position model. The record is from RNAcentral.